GGGGGCGUAAAGGUUUCGACGGGGAUCAUGAGGAUCAAGGCAGCGAGCGGCGGCCCCUGACCGCCAUAAAACGGGGAAAAACAAUAAUUGCGAACGAAGACAACUUUGUUCCGGUAGCCGCUUAAGGCUACCCGUCGGACCCGAGCCUCCCGCGGCGCGGCAAUCCGGCGUCAUUAAGGCGGGGUACCAGCCCAGAUAAGCUUUGCCAUGGGUGGGAUUUAAUGAAGCUACUGAAACCAUAAGCCCGUUCGUGGGCGUGUGGCGGAGGGAAUGUUAAAACGCGAACUGCGCUCGGAGAUACAUUGGUUCUCGGGUUUUCGGACAGGAGUUCGAUUCUCCUCGCCUCCACCA
This 351-nucleotide transfer-messenger RNA is filed under the name Clostridia bacterium. It matches the Rfam family "transfer-messenger RNA". From Rfam's summary of the family: Bacterial tmRNA, also known as 10Sa RNA or SsrA, is named for its dual tRNA and mRNA-like properties. Its role is to liberate the mRNA from a stalled ribosome. Lineage: Bacteria; Bacillati; Bacillota; Clostridia. The record is from RNAcentral.